This 431-nucleotide small nuclear RNA is filed under the name Musca domestica (house fly). RNAcentral's name for it is "Arthropod 7SK RNA". It matches the Rfam family "Arthropod 7SK RNA". The record is from Rfam by way of RNAcentral. Lineage: Eukaryota; Metazoa; Arthropoda; Insecta; Diptera; Muscidae.
GGAAGUGUGUGUCUUCUGUUUGUGAUGGCACGUAGCUGGACAUUGAUCGCUAGACCGUUAUUAGUGUUUGCAGAUCUGCUCAGUGGACAUCCGUCACACUAUUGUUCUCCCAACAUAAAUUUGCCUGACAGACGUUUGGUGCUGAAGUUCUAGUGCCGGUCUUCUGUUGCAUCGACGCCGGGUCGAAACGCACAGUCAUGCAUUGUCCGUCGGGUGUUUCUGGCGAAGAUGGUGGUGUCAUGCCGCCAUUCCGAACCAAGGCUCCUUGGCGGUAUACAAUUGCUGUGAGACCAGCAUCGAAUUUCCCAGUCUGUCGUUUUCAAAAUUUCUUAGUUAAGUAACUUGGUAGCUUAGCUUCGGAUUUUCGUAAAUUUACAGUUCAGAACACUUCCAUACCAGUGGCAUUGCCGAGCAAUUUGCCCAUUAAUUUU